CACGUAGGGCGCAAGCGUUGUCCGGAAUCACUGGGCGUAAAGGGUGCGUAGGCGGCGCGGUAAGUCGGGUGUGAAAUCUCGGAGCUUAACUCCGAAACUGCAUUCGAUACUGCCGUGCUUGAGGACUGGAGAGGAGACUGGAAUUUACGGUGUAGCGGUGAAAUGCGUAGAUAUCGUAAGGAAGACCAGUGGCGAAGGCGGGUCUCUGGACAGUUCCUGACGCUGAGGCACGAAGGUCAGGGGAGCAAACGGG
RNAcentral lists this ribosomal RNA (253 nucleotides) under uncultured bacterium. RNAcentral's name for it is "partial 16S ribosomal RNA". It matches the Rfam family "Bacterial small subunit ribosomal RNA", at positions 524 to 776 of the family's 1533-position model. The record is from RNAcentral.